Molecule: RNase P RNA, 432 nt
Filed under: Saprospiraceae bacterium
Lineage: Bacteria; Pseudomonadati; Bacteroidota; Saprospiria; Saprospirales; Saprospiraceae
Description: RNase P RNA component class A
Rfam family: Bacterial RNase P class A
About the family: Ribonuclease P (RNase P) is a ubiquitous endoribonuclease, found in archaea, bacteria and eukarya as well as chloroplasts and mitochondria. Its best characterised activity is the generation of mature 5'-ends of tRNAs by cleaving the 5'-leader elements of precursor-tRNAs.
Source: RNAcentral
ACUGCAAACCGCUCUAUCGUUUUGCUAAGCAAUUAGCGAAAAGGAAAGUCCGGACAACGUAGAGUACCACACCACCUAACGGAUGGGGUUUUUUUAUUAUCUUGAUAAUAAAGAAAUACAGAUAGUGUCGCAGAAAAUUACCGCCCUAAGCAAUCAGGGUAAGGGUGAAAACGUGCGGUAAGAGCGCACGACUUUUCCAAGUAAUUGGAAAAGUGGAUAAACCUUGUGGGUUGAAAUGCCACGUACAUUUCAGUUUUCCUUUUUGGAAAGUGGAGUUGCUCGCUCCAUUGUCUUGAAUUUUUGAGACAGCAGGAAGGGGUAGGCAGAUUGGGUUCGUCGGUAACGAUGAAACUAGAUAAAUGAUAGGGGCUUUUGUUUUGCUUUUGAGCGAAAUUGAGGUUACAGAAUUCGGCUUACAGGUUUGCAGUUUUU